AUUGAACGCUGGCGGCAUGCCUUACACAUGCAAGUCGAACGGCAGGCACGGGAGCAAUCCUGGUGGCGAGUGGCGAACGGGUGAGUAAUAUAUCGGAACGUGCCCGGUCGUGGGGGAUAACGUAGCGAAAGCUACGCUAAUACCGCAUACGAUCUACGGAUGAAAGCGGGGGAUCGCAAGACCUCGCGCGAUUGGAGCGGCCGAUAUCAGAUUAGGUAGUUGGUGAGGUAAAGGCUCACCAAGCCGACGAUCUGUAGCUGGUCUGAGAGGACGACCAGCCACACUGGGACUGAGACACGGCCCAGACUCCACGGGAGGCAGCAGUGGGGAAUUUUGGACAAUGGGCGCAAGCCUGAUCCAGCAAUGCCGCGUGCAGGAUGAAGG
RNAcentral lists this ribosomal RNA (384 nucleotides) under uncultured bacterium. RNAcentral's name for it is "bacterial SSU rRNA". It matches the Rfam family "Bacterial small subunit ribosomal RNA", at positions 29 to 414 of the family's 1533-position model. The record is from RNAcentral.